RNAcentral lists this ribosomal RNA (292 nucleotides) under uncultured bacterium. RNAcentral's name for it is "partial 16S ribosomal RNA". It matches the Rfam family "Bacterial small subunit ribosomal RNA", at positions 505 to 796 of the family's 1533-position model. The record is from RNAcentral.
GUGCCAGCAGCCGCGGUAAUACAGAGAGUGCAAACGUUGUUCGGAAUUACUGGGCUUAAAGCGCACGUAGGCGGCGCCGCAAGUGUGGGGUGAAAGCCCACGGCUUACCCGUGGAAUUGCCUGGCAGACUGCGGUGCUAGAGGAUGGUAGGGGAGAGCGGAACUCCUGGUGGAGCGGUGAAAUGCGUAGAUAUCAGGAGGAACACCGGUGGCGAAGGCGGCUCUCUGGUCCAUGACUGACGCUGAGGUGCGAAAGCUAGGGGAGCAAACGGGAUUAGAAACCCCCGUAGUCC